AUGUCAUACUGUAAUUGGUCAACAGAAAGAAUUAAUAGAAGGCAUCACAUCAUAUUAAUCCUGUUCGGUGUUGAUCUCCACCAGACAACUGUUGUAAAAAAAGACCAAUACAUUUAUCACAAAUAUUAUCAUACACAGUACCCUUCUAUAACUUACAUCAUAGAAGUUGUACAAGUUAUGCAGUUGCAAUUUUUGGAAACAACAUGGCAGCUCCGAAAGAAUGUUCCAUCCCACAAAACAUCGAUUCUUAAGAAAAUACAAUUGAAAAAAUAUUACCACUUAUCAGCUAAGAAGAUACAGAGCCUUCUGCACACAGUCUUCUCUUCAGUUUCUUGA
RNAcentral lists this ribosomal RNA (336 nucleotides) under Triticum aestivum (bread wheat). RNAcentral describes it as "partial small subunit ribosomal RNA". Lineage: Eukaryota; Viridiplantae; Streptophyta; Magnoliopsida; Poales; Poaceae. The record is from RNAcentral.